Molecule: long non-coding RNA, 631 nt
Filed under: Equus asinus (donkey)
Lineage: Eukaryota; Metazoa; Chordata; Mammalia; Perissodactyla; Equidae
Description: lncRNA (ENSEASG00005026054.1)
Source: RNAcentral
GUUACUUCCGUGACUUCAGUCUUUGCUCUCCUACCCUCUCACUUACUAGCUGAGCGAUCUGGGGGAGGUUAUCUAACCUUCCUGAGCCUCGUAUUCCUCAUACCGAAAACGGAGGUAACCAGAGUAACUACAUCCAAAAAUUGAGAGAACUGAAUGAGAUAAAUAAGGCGGGGUGUUUUUAACACGUCCUGCACAUGAAGACAAUACCAUGAUCAUGAAAUCACUAGAGAAAUCUGUCGGGGAAAGUCUGUGAGGAUAGUCUCAUCUGUAACACAUGUGUCCUCCAGAAAAAAAGUAUAUGGCUUUCAGACUAAAUUUUACUCCUUAUCCAAAUGGAAAGAAUAUCUAAAGAGACAAAGUGUAAUAAUCCAAGAAUCUUCUAUUGUGAGAAUAAUGGAGAUUGACAUUGUGAAGUAUAUAGAAAAACAUAAAAGACCACUGGAUCAACAUCACACAUGGAAUAUAUUUGUAAAGAGACAGACAGAAUUAUGUCAUACCCAGAGGGGAUAAUAAUCAGAGGUGAAGAAAAGGACCAGCUGACUUUCCCAAGGCCACCUGGUUUUUUUUAGUUUCUGAAUGCAGAUCUGAAGUGUUACUAUGAUCAUGUCUGGCUUGCUGUGGUGUUUUUCUU